This 253-nucleotide ribosomal RNA is filed under the name uncultured bacterium. RNAcentral's name for it is "partial 16S ribosomal RNA". It matches the Rfam family "Bacterial small subunit ribosomal RNA", at positions 524 to 776 of the family's 1533-position model. The record is from RNAcentral.
UACGGAGGGUGCAAACGUUAUCCGGAAUCACUGGGUUUAAAGGGUGCUUAGGCGGCUGUAUAAGUCAGAGGUGAAAGCCCGGAGCUUAACUUCGGAACUGCCUUUGAUACUGUAUAGCUUGAAAUAGGUUGAGGUCAGCGGAAUGUGGCAUGUAGCGGUGAAAUGCAUAGAUAUGCCAUAGAACACCAAUUGCGAAGGCAGCUGGCAGGACCUUAUUUGACGAUGAAGAUAGAAAGAGUGGGGAGCGAACAGG